AUGAGCACGCGUUGCUGUCAAACUAGCAGUCGCUGCUGUUAGUUCAAUAUUGGCAUUACAUUGGAAUGUAAAUCACUUGCUUCUUCAAAUAUCCACAAAACUCACACCUUUGCCAGAAACUCUUGUAGAUGGGAAGCGCCAAAUUUUUUAUCAGGUCAGAAUUUCUCAUUUUACUUGUGUUUAACUGUUAAAAUUAUUUGUGCUUGCAAUUAUCAGAUGGAGAAGAACAGAGGGUUAACUCGUGCUCGGAAGAAGCUAACCAAAAAUCCAAGAAAGAAGCACAAGUUGAAACACCAAAAAGCAGUGGUGCGUCGGAAGGGACAAGUGCGAGAUAUCAGGAAGCCAACUGCUACUUAUGGUGGGUAUUAAUGCA
Coffea eugenioides is the source of this 373-nucleotide long non-coding RNA. RefSeq lists it as uncharacterized. Lineage: Eukaryota; Viridiplantae; Streptophyta; Magnoliopsida; Gentianales; Rubiaceae. The record is from RefSeq and is a predicted model, not a curated record. The transcript is spliced from 3 exons.